Molecule: ribosomal RNA, 527 nt
Filed under: Streptococcus danieliae
Lineage: Bacteria; Bacillati; Bacillota; Bacilli; Lactobacillales; Streptococcaceae
Description: partial 23S ribosomal RNA
Rfam family: Bacterial large subunit ribosomal RNA
Source: RNAcentral
GCCUUUUGUAGAAUGAACCGGCGAGUUACGAUUUGAUGCAAGGUUAAGCAGUAAAUGUGGAGCCGUAGCGAAAGCGAGUCUGAAUAGGGCGAAUGAGUAUCUGGUCGUAGACCCGAAACCAAGUGAUCUACCCAUGUCCAGGUUGAAGUUCAGGUAACACUGAAUGGAGGACCGAACCGACUUACGUUGAAAAGUGAGCGGAUGAGGUGUGGGUAGCGGAGAAAUUCCAAUCGAACUUGGAGAUAGCUGGUUCUCUCCGAAAUAGCUUUAGGGCUAGCCUCAAGUGAUGAUUAUUGGAGGUAGAGCACUGUUUGGACGAGGGGCCCCUCUCGGGUUACCGAAUUCAGACAAACUCCGAAUGCCAAAUAAUUUAACUUGGGAGUCAGACUAUGGGUGAUAAGGUCCGUAGUCGAAAGGGAAACAGCCCAGACCACCAGCUAAGGUCCCAAAAUAUAUGUUAAGUGGAAAAGGAUGUGGCGUUGCCCAGACAACUAGGAUGUUGGCUUAGAAGCAGCCAUCAUUUAAAG